RNAcentral lists this long non-coding RNA (281 nucleotides) under Homo sapiens (human). RNAcentral's name for it is "non-protein coding lnc-LSM12-3:1". The record is from RNAcentral. Lineage: Eukaryota; Metazoa; Chordata; Mammalia; Primates; Hominidae.
AGGAUCAGAAAGUCGGGAGAAGACCCCUAGAAGUCCCAGCUUAGGCUAUGGAGGCUGGGAUACCAGUUUCUCCCUUCACUUCUGCCAGGGACUCUAGAUCAGCCCUGCAUCUCCCCACUGCUAUGGAUACAGAUCAGAAGCCCCCCUGCACUUUCUCCUUUGGUGCACACCUAGUCCCAUGGCAGGCACUGUUGGGAGUCUAUAGGGUCUCCCCAGCUGGCAGUAGACACUCACCUGAAAAGGGGUCUGUUGGGUUUGGCCACCAUAGCCAUUUCCUAUCC